GUAGGGAAUCUUGCGCAAUGGGCGAAAGCUUGACGCAGCGACACCGUGUGAAGGAUGAAGGCCUUCGGGUCGUAAACUUCUGUCAAUUGGGGACGAAGGUAGUAGGGUCAAUACCCCGAAUACUGACGGUACCCAAUAAGGAAGUCUCGGCUAACUCCGUGCCAGCAGCCGCGGUAAGACGGAGGAGGCAAGCGUUGUCCGGAAUCAUUGGGCGUAAAGAGCGCGUAGGCUGUUUUUCAAGUCAUAUGUGAAAACCUCAGGCUCAACUUGAGGACUGCAUAUGAAACUGGAUAACUUGAGUGCAGUAGGGGAAAGCGGAAUUCCUGGUGUAGCGGUGAAAUGCGCAGAUAUCAGGAAGAACACCAGUAGCGAAGGCGGCUUUCUGGGCUGCUACUGACGCUGAGGCGCGAAAGCUAGGGGAGCAAACAGGAUUAGAUACCCCGGUAGUCC
This 450-nucleotide ribosomal RNA is filed under the name uncultured bacterium. RNAcentral's name for it is "bacterial SSU rRNA". It matches the Rfam family "Bacterial small subunit ribosomal RNA", at positions 354 to 796 of the family's 1533-position model. The record is from RNAcentral.